Long non-coding RNA from Lucilia sericata (common green bottle fly), 1023 nucleotides. RefSeq lists it as uncharacterized. The record is from RefSeq and is a predicted model, not a curated record. The transcript has 3 exons. Lineage: Eukaryota; Metazoa; Arthropoda; Insecta; Diptera; Calliphoridae.
UAUACAUUGGCAAAUAAAAGUAAAGAUUAAAAAUAAUACAAAAGGAAAUUACAUAAUAAAGGGUAGCAAGAGUUUGAGAAUUUCGAGUAUUGGACAAGAAAUAAAGUUAAAGGUUACUGCAACGACAAGGAUAAGGAAAUCUAGAAGUGUUCCUGCAAAAUAGUAUUAUAAGCUUGGAGAACCUUGAGACGGGUUUCUAUCUGGAGCAGGACCAGAGUUAACUAUUUCCGGAAACCUUACUCUUCCUGGGAAGAAUCUCAAAAAGGGUUCUCCAAAAAUUUAAAUCCUCUCCUAAAACAACAGGUAACCAUACUCAAUUAAGAAAAAUAAUAGCCAGAAAGAAAAAGAGUACAAUCCGUUCAAUACUCGACGCUACGUAUUCAAUUGUGAAAUUUCAAUUAUUGCACUUGAUUUUUAGUAUAUUUAACUAUAGAACAGAAGAUAUAUAUCAGAAUUUAGGGUUAAGAUUACUCCGUAUCAUUUAUUAGUUUUAAGUUUAAUUUAUUUAUAAGAUAUAUUCAUAUGUGUUUGUGAUUAGCGUGCCUCGCAAGAAGAAAAAAAAAAUCGUCAGGUUGUAGGAAUAUCCAUCCCCAAAACAAAACGAAGUAUAUAUUCGAACUUUAGUUUUUUUUUUAUUUAAUUGUAUUUUCCCUCCCGAAAUAAAGAGCUCUUUAGAACAGGAUCAGGAAGAUUAGAUAUAGUGAACCAUAUCGAUGGUCUGGCAAUAUUGUGCAAAAAAAUAAAUAAACGUUUUAUUUUGGAAAAGGGUCUUUUCCUGUGGCAUGUAGAAACGCCUGAUAUCAUCUAUUGUGAAUAUCGCUAAGAAUUAGUGUAAUAAUACGUUAUUUUGUUAGAUUUGUGUAUAAAUAUAUGUAAUUUUUCUUUAUUGUUGAAGUUUAAUUCUUUUAUUCUAUUAUUAUAAGCCCAAUUUUUAAGGUAGAUAAACAUCUUAGGAAACCUAUAAUAGAUAAAAUAAAUGAAAUUAUGUUCGUUAAAUGAUUUGAAUUAAAAAAAAAAAAAAAA